GGAUACAGUGGCUGAUUUUCUUCCGAGAAAAGGCCCACUUUGGCAGAGAAGGUCUGUCUAAUAUUUGCUUCUGGGACUAUCAAGCGUUCAUGACUGCCUAAACAUUGUGUUGCAUUGAGCUUUCGAUUUUUCAGCUAACCAGCAAGCAAGCGUAGUAUGUACAUGUUAUUAAUAGUGUUGCCACAGCUGAAGUAAAUAUCAGAUAACUGGUUUUUCUGGUUGUGUUGUUUGGCAGUUUAAGAACAGUCUGUUCUGGUUCAAGGACUUGAGGGAACCAGGACUGAACCCGUCCUUGCUGGUAAAACAAUAAAUAAAAAAUUAUUUCAAAAAGUAUGUUUUAAUUAUAAUUAAUUCAAAAUUUAUUUUCUUAAAUAGUUUGGUCAAAUUUCUUUUAACUAUGUUACAAUUAUAACUGGUCCAAAAUUUAUUUCCUUAAAUAUUUUGGUCAGAUUUUCUUUUAUUAUGUU
This 467-nucleotide unclassified non-coding RNA is filed under the name Hevea brasiliensis (rubber tree). The record is from RNAcentral. Lineage: Eukaryota; Viridiplantae; Streptophyta; Magnoliopsida; Malpighiales; Euphorbiaceae.